AUACACUAUAUAUAUUCAAUUUCAAUAUAACUUGUAUAGCCUUAUGACUCCCUUCCAGAAUACUCUUACAAUUAUGAGACAGACUUUUUUUUCUUUCUUAAAAUAGGAAUUAGAAAAAGGAAUAUUUUUAAUGAAGGCAUUUGUCAGAUAGAUCAAUCUAACGUUGUCUCCAAAAAGGCAAUAACUGGGUCAAUAGGACAUUCAUCCUUCAACGAUAGAAUAUUUUAUCUACAUUUGUCAUCAUAUUUUACAGGGAUCCAGCAGAUACGGAAAAAGGGACAACACUUCGACUGAAUGUGUCAUCCAUAUACCGGUUCUUGUGAAAAGUGUUUUAUUUGGCACCAUUCAGCUACAAAUACCCAAUGUACUCUUUGCCGGUGGAAUUGUGACCUCAGUCAACUGCUCAUGACACUGCUAAAUGGCAGAGAAUUUUCUUCUGAGACAAGUAAAUUUUACACCUGCAGGUAGUGAUGAGUGCAACUGAAGUUUUUAUCAGGAUCUCGUCCGACAUCAUAGGUACAACUGGUCACUGUGAUUUCUUAAAUAAGAGGACAUAUUGUAAAGGCGCCUAGGCGGUUACAUAUGUACACGUAGCUCCAAAUGAUGCUUGACUGUUUUCCUUCGCUUUAUACGUAAACCUGGAUUGGUCUCUGAUGCAGUAAUAUAGAGCCAUGUCAUGUUUUAAAUCCAAUCUUCCCACUGUCACAAAGUGCUGUAAUAAAAUGAUUUUGAUUUAGAUA
Molecule: long non-coding RNA, 740 nt
Organism: Saccostrea cuccullata (small rock oyster)
Lineage: Eukaryota; Metazoa; Mollusca; Bivalvia; Ostreida; Ostreidae
Exons: 3
Source: RefSeq, a predicted model, not a curated record